UCUUUCAGUUCCCAAAUAGGUGUGACAGUUAUAACACAGCUCAACGUAGGCUAGUUGUAGUAACGUAUGAAUAAAUAUGUACGUCCAGUAUCCAUUAUAUCAGUCAUCACUCAUCAGCACAUCACCAAACAGAACGACUGAUAAGGUUAGGUCAAUAUGUAAUGUUUGUUUUAUCAAGGUAAAAGCUAGGGUUAAGUGGGACGGCGGGUGAAUCGGGAAAGGGUCGAAUACUUUUAAAUUGAAUAAAAGUUAUUUUUUAAAAGCCAUUCAAAAUAUGUUGUUUAGCAAACGAGCAAACAGGCUAUGUUGUUCACAUUCUUCGUUCAGUGGGAAUUCCUAUUUUGUGAUAUGUGAUGUCGACAGGACAGUCUCAGCAGAUUGUUCACAGAACUGGCUGAAUCCAUUAAAGUGUCAGACCACCAACACAAUACAAAAAAACAGGUCUCAUUCAGUGCUUUCUAUGAGGCAAGACUGCACACCUAGAGUUCAGCGUUGUUGGCAGUAUCCCAUUUUUAGAAGGUGCAUGUAUACAUAGCAGGGAGUUCAGUACGUUCACCUCCAGCAGCCAGUUUCCGUUCAAUGCAACCAGCGCCAGCAGAGACUUUCCCUUUAUGGACGAAAGAAUGUCAAAACAAUAUAAGAGAAAGAAAAAAGAAGGAACAAAUCGUGAACUUUCCACAGCAGGCGUGGUGCAGCAGCUACUUUCGAGUGUGACUGCAUGCUGCAGUUUGCACGCGCAACAACGGGGAAAAGGUGCGACAAAGUUGCGGAGGCUAUAGGUCUCGGGAUAUCCGUUGUGUUUUCUUCGCACCACACUUCCAGUCGGAAAACGUGACGUGAUGGACCUGCUUCGGCAUUCUCGUCUCAUGGCGUUUCUUUUCGUCAUCAUCUCCUUCCAAAUUCACGACGCAAAUGCCGUUCCAAUGGUUUCGUAUCGAGUCGGUAAUCAGCUAAGGCUUAGUCCAGUUUUAGUGCCCGUUUCAUCAACAGUGAUGCCCGUCGAUCUGAUGAAGACGAACCAUCGUUCGUCCGACGAGAGGUUAACCCCGUUAGCUAAUCAACCAAAGGCCGAAUUUCGAAAAUCAAAACGUGAAAAGACCGAGUCGUUUUUCUGGCCACUUAAAUUGUAUUGAGAUUUUUUUUGAAUAUCGAGAAAUAUCGAGUGUAACGUUUAUUGUGACAUCAGCAUGUUUAAAAUUUUGUAGUAUUGCCGUUGAUGCGGUAUCGUAGACGUGAAUUGGAGAGCGCCACGUUACAGACGAAAGUGAUAGUAUGCUGUUUUAUUCAUGAAAUUAAGUAGCCUAGUGAAAGUUGCUUGAAAAAGAAGCCAAUCCGGAAUAAGAUACCUCAACCCCGGUAAAAGGUGUGGUUGUAUUUUUAUUUUUUCGUGUCUCUGUUUUCUUUUGUUUCUGUUUUUUUUGAAAGACUGAGCAAUUCCCAAGAUAAGAAUCUGUGCCAACACAAUCACAAUUGUGGUCUAUCUGUGCAUCCGUCUCCCAGCAAAGCGUUACAUGCCAAGCGAUGAAAUGGGGUUUUCCCAGAAUUAUCCUGAACACCAAGUCGAAGAAAAAUGUUAACCGAAGUUCUUUGUCUGACUCAUUGAUAAAUGUUAUACCGGUUCAUAUAAGUAAUGUCGCAUUGUAAACUACAUUCGAAGUACAUACACAAUAUUGGCAGUAUA
This 1681-nucleotide long non-coding RNA is filed under the name Daphnia pulicaria. RNAcentral describes it as "uncharacterized LOC124311581". Lineage: Eukaryota; Metazoa; Arthropoda; Branchiopoda; Diplostraca; Daphniidae. The record is from RNAcentral.